RNAcentral lists this transfer RNA (82 nucleotides) under Caenorhabditis brenneri. RNAcentral describes it as "tRNA CBN27743". Lineage: Eukaryota; Metazoa; Nematoda; Chromadorea; Rhabditida; Rhabditidae. The record is from RNAcentral.
GUCCGGGUGGCCGAAUGGGGAAAGGCGAGAGCGCGCGCUCAACGGGCUAGACCCAAUGCAGGUUCGAGUCCUGCACCGGACG